This 28-nucleotide small RNA is filed under the name Bombyx mori (domestic silkworm). RNAcentral's name for it is "ovarian small RNA-34500". Lineage: Eukaryota; Metazoa; Arthropoda; Insecta; Lepidoptera; Bombycidae. The record is from RNAcentral.
UGGAAUGGUUGCUUCAAUGAUUGGUUCC